AUGUGGUAUGCUCCUAUAAUACCACGGUUGAAACGUUUGUUCCAAAACAAAGAGCAUGCCAAGGCGAUGCGAUGGCACAGAGAAGACCGUAAGAAAGACGGAAAGUUGAGAGUACCCGCUGACGGGUCGCAGUGGAGAAAAAUCGAAAGAAAGUACGGGAAGGAGUUUGCAGAUGACGCAAGGAGCGUAUGGUUUGGUCUAAGCGCAGAUGGCAUUAAUCCUUUUGGGGAGCAGAGCAGCAACCAUAGCACCUGGCCUGUGACUCUAUGUUUAUAUAACCUUCCUCCUUGGUUGUGCAUGAAGCGGAAGUUCAUUAUGAUGCCAGUGCUCAUCCAAGGCCCUAAGCAACCCGACAACGACAUUGAUGUGUACCUAAGGCCAUUAGUUGAAGAACUCUUACAACUGUGGAAUGGAACAGGUGUACGUGCGUGGGAUGAGCACAUGGGGAAAGAAUUUGACCUAAAGGCGUUGCUGUUCGUGACCAUCAAUGAUUGGCCUGCUCUCAGUAACCUUUCAGGACAGACAAACAAGGGAUACCGCGCAUGCACGCACUGUUUGGACGAUACCGACAGUAUGUAUUUGGCUAAUAAGAAUGUGUACCUGGGACAUCGUCGAUUUCUUCCGAGCAGGCAUCCCGUAAGAAAGAAAGGCAAGCAUUUCAAAGGUGAGGCGGAUCACCGAACGAAGCCUCGCCACCGUACUGGUGCUGAUGUACAUGAUAUGGUCAAGGAUUUGAAGGUGGUCUUUGGAAAGGGUCCUGGUGGACAACCUGUUCCGAAUGACGCUGACGGACACGCACCCAUGUGGAAGAAGAAAUCUAUAUUUUGGGACCUGCCCUAUUGGAAAGACCUCGAGGUCCGCUCCGCAAUCAACGUGAUGCACGUGACGAAGAAUCUUUGUGUGACCCUGCUUGGCUUCUUAGGCGUGUAUGGGAAGACAAAAGAUACACCUGAGGCACAGGAGGACCAGCAACGUAUGCACGGAAAAGACGGCAUACAUCAGGGUCAUGCAAGCUACGCUCUUACCAAAAAAGAGAAGGAAAUCUUCUUUGAAUGUCUGCUCAGUAUUAAGGUACCAUCUAGCUUCUCGUCGAAUAUAAAGGGAAUAAUAAACAUGGCAGAGAAAAAGUUCCAGAACCUAAAGUCUCAUGACUGCCACGUGAUUAUGACGCAACUGCUUCCGGUUGCAUUGAGGGGGCUUCUACCGGAAAACGUUUGA
Molecule: ribosomal RNA, 1218 nt
Filed under: Triticum aestivum (bread wheat)
Lineage: Eukaryota; Viridiplantae; Streptophyta; Magnoliopsida; Poales; Poaceae
Description: partial small subunit ribosomal RNA
Source: RNAcentral